UCUGUAGGUGACCUGCGGAAGGAUCAUUAUUGAAUUUUGAAAGAGGUUGUAGCUGAUCAAAAAAAAAGAUAUGUGCACACCUCAUUUCCAAAUUUUACACCCAUGUGCACUCUUUGUAGGCCAUUUGGCCUAUGUCUUCAUAAUACACUCUUAAAAGGUUUCAGAAUGUGAAAUGUAUAUCUUAAAUUAAUACAACUUUCAACAACGGAUCUCUUGGCUCUCGCAUCGAUGAAGAACGCAGCGAAAUGCGAUAAGUAAUGUGAAUUGCAGAAUUCAGUGAAUCAUCGAAUCUUUGAACGCACCUUGCGCUCCUUGGUAUUCCGAGGAGCAUGCCUGUUUGAGUAUCAUUAAAAUCUCAAUCCUUUGUUCAAUUUAUUUUUGAAUUAAAGGCUUUGGACUUGGAGGUGUUGCUGGUCUUUCUUUAAAGUCGGCUCCUCUUAAAUGCAUUAGCUUGGACCUUUUGCAGAUAAGCUUUAGUUUGAUAAAUAUCUAUGCUAAUUGUCUUUGAAGCAACAAAUGCCAGCUUCCAAUUGAACUUGCUUUAUUGCAAUUCCUUUCUUAAGUUUGAUCUCAAAUCAGGUAGGACUACCCGCUGAACUUAAGCAUAUCAAUAAGCGGAGGAAAAGAAACUAACAAGGAUUCCCCUAGUAACUGCGAGUGAAGCGGGAAAAGCUCAAAUUUAAAAUCUGACAAGUCUUUUGACUGUCCGAGUUGUAAUCUAGAGAAGUGCUUUCCGCGUUGGACUGUGUACAAGUCUUUUGGAACAGAGCUUCAUAGAAGGUGA
This 784-nucleotide ribosomal RNA is filed under the name Hygrophorus quercetorum. RNAcentral describes it as "partial ribosomal RNA". The stretch from base 566 to 784 matches the Rfam family "Eukaryotic large subunit ribosomal RNA", at positions 1 to 215 of the family's 3401-position model. Lineage: Eukaryota; Fungi; Basidiomycota; Agaricomycetes; Agaricales; Hygrophoraceae. The record is from RNAcentral.